GGGCGAAAGCCUGAUGGAGCRACGCCGCGUGAGUGAAGAAGGAUUUCGGUUCGUAAAACUCUGUUGUAAGGGAAGAACAAGUACAGUAGUAACUGGCUGUACCUUGACGGUACCUUAUUAGAAAGCCACGGCUAACUACGUGCCAGCAGCCGCGGUAAUACGUAGGUGGCAAGCGUUGUCCGGAAUUAUUGGGCGUAAAGCGCGCGCAGGUGGUUUCUUAAGUCUGAUGUGAAAGCCCACGGCUCAACCGUGGAGGGUCAUUGGAAACUGGGAGACUUGAGUGCAGAAGAGGAUAGUGGAAUUCCAAGUGUAGCGGUGAAAUGCGUAGAGAUUUGGAGGAACACCAGUGGCGAAGGCGACUAUCUGGUCUGUAACUGACACUGAGGCGCGAAAGCGUGGGGAGCAAACAGGAUUAGAUACCCUGGUAGUCCACGCCGUAAACGAUGAGUGCUAAGUGUUAGGGGGUUUCCGCCCCUUAGUGCUGCAGCUAACGCAUWAAGCACUCCGCCUGG
RNAcentral lists this ribosomal RNA (512 nucleotides) under Lysinibacillus sp. sw5. Its description in RNAcentral is "bacterial SSU rRNA". It matches the Rfam family "Bacterial small subunit ribosomal RNA", at positions 373 to 876 of the family's 1533-position model. Lineage: Bacteria; Bacillati; Bacillota; Bacilli; Caryophanales; Bacillaceae. The record is from RNAcentral.